RNAcentral lists this ribosomal RNA (1035 nucleotides) under uncultured bacterium. RNAcentral describes it as "bacterial SSU rRNA". It matches the Rfam family "Bacterial small subunit ribosomal RNA", at positions 335 to 1382 of the family's 1533-position model. The record is from RNAcentral.
ACUCCUACGGGAGGCAGCAGUGGGGAAUAUUGCGCAAUGGGCGAAAGCCUGACGCAGCGACGCCGCGUGAGGGAUGAAGGCCUUCGGGUUGUAAACCUCUUUCAGCAGGGACGAAGCGAAAGUGACGGUACCUGCAGAAGAAGCACCGGCCAACUACGUGCCAGCAGCCGCGGUAAUACGUAGGGUGCAAGCGUUGUCCGGAAUUAUUGGGCGUAAAGAGCUCGUAGGCGGUCUGUCACGUCGGCUGUGAAAACCCGGGGCUCAACCCCGAGCCUGCAGUCGAUACGGGCAGACUAGAGUGCUGUAGGGGAGACUGGAAUUCCUGGUGUAGCGGUGAAAUGCGCAGAUAUCAGGAGGAACACCGGUGGCGAAGGCGGGUCUCUGGGCAGUAACUGACGCUGAGGAGCGAAAGCGUGGAGAGCAAACAGGAUUAGAUACCCUGGUAGUCCACGCCGUAAACGGUGGGUGCUAGGUGUAGGUCGUAUUCCACGCGAUCUGUGCCGCAGCUAACGCAUUAAGCACCCCGCCUGGGGAGUACGGCCGCAAGGCUAAAACUCAAAGGAAUUGACGGGGGCCCGCACAAGCAGCGGAGCAUGUGGCUUAAUUCGACGCAACGCGAAGAACCUUACCAAGGCUUGACAUGCAGGGAAAUCUCACAGAGAUGUGAGGUCCGCAAGGGUCCUGCACAGGUGGUGCAUGGUUGUCGUCAGCUCGUGUCGUGAGAUGUUGGGUUAAGUCCCGCAACGAGCGCAACCCUCGUUCUAUGUUGCCAGCGCGUUAUGGCGGGGACUCAUAGGAGACUGCCGGGGUCAACUCGGAGGAAGGUGGGGACGACGUCAAAUCAUCAUGCCCCUUAUGUCUUGGGCUGCACACAUGCUACAAUGGCCGAUACAAAGGGCUGCUAAGCCGCGAGGUGGAGCGAAUCCCAAAAAGUCGGUCUCAGUUCGGAUUGGGGUCUGCAACUCGACCCCAUGAAGUCGGAGUUGCUAGUAAUCGCAGAUCAGCAACGCUGCGGUGAAUACGUUCCCGGGCCUU